Molecule: ribosomal RNA, 989 nt
Filed under: Arsenophonus endosymbiont of Ornithomya biloba
Lineage: Bacteria; Pseudomonadati; Pseudomonadota; Gammaproteobacteria; Enterobacterales; Morganellaceae
Description: bacterial SSU rRNA
Rfam family: Bacterial small subunit ribosomal RNA
Source: RNAcentral
GCAAGUCGAGCGGCAGCGGGAGAAAGCUUGCUUUCUUGCCGGCGAGCGGCGGACGGGUGAGUAAGGUAUGGGGAUCUGGCCGAAGGCGGGGGAUAACCACUGGAAACGGUGGCUAAUACUGCAUAAUCUCUAAGGAGCAAAGUGGGGGACCAUUUGGCCUCACACCUUCGGAUGAACCCAUAUGAGAUUAGCUAGUAGGUGGGGUAAAGGCUCACCUAGGCGACGAUCUCUAGCUGGUCUGAGAGGAUGAUCAGCCACACUGGGACUGAGACACGGCCCAGACUCCUACGGGAGGCAGCAGUGGGGAAUAUUGCACAAUGGGCGCAAGCCUGAUGCAGCCAUGCCGCGUGUAUGAAGAAGGCCUUCGGGUUGUAAAGUACUUUCAGUCGUGAGGAAGGUGUUAAGGUUAAUAGUCUUAGCAAUUGACGUUAGCGACAGAAGAAGCACCGGCUAACUCCGUGCCAGCAGCCGCGGUAAUACGGAGGGUGCGAGCGUUAAUCGGAAUUACUGGGCGUAAAGGGYACGCAGGCGGUUAAUUAAGUUGGAUGUGAAAUCCCCGGGCUUAACCUGGGAAUGGCAUUCAAGACUGGUUAGCUAGAGUCUUGUAGAGGGGGGUAGAAUUCCAUGUGUAGCGGUGAAAUGCGUAGAGAUGUGGAGGAAUACCGGUGGCGAAGGCGGCCCCCUGGACAAAGACUGACGCUCAUGUGCGAAAGCGUGGGGAGCAAACAGGAUUAGAUACCCUGGUAGUCCACGCUGUAAACGAUGUCGAUUUGGAGGUUGUGGUCCUGAACUGUGGCCUCCGGAGCUAACGCGUUAAAUCGACCGCCUGGGGAGUACGGCCGCAAGGUUAAAACUCAAAUGAAUUGACGGGGGCCCGCACAAGCGGUGGAGCAUGUGGUUUAAUUCGAUGCAACGCGAAGAACCUUACCUACUCUUGACAUCCAGCGAAGCCUUUAGAGAUAGAGGCGUGCCUUCGGGAGCGCUGAGAC